GAUGAACGCUGGCGGCGUGCCUAAUACAUGCAAGUCGAGCGAACGGACGAGAAGCUUGCUUCUCUGAUGUUAGCGGCGGACGGGUGAGUAACACGUGGAUAACCUACCUAUAAGACUGGGAUAACUUCGGGAAACCGGAGCUAAUACCGGAUGAUAUUUUGAACCGCAUGGUUCAAAAGUGAAAGACGGUCUUGCUGUCACUUAUAGAUGGAUCCGCGCUGCUUUAGCUAGUUGGUAAGGUAACGGCUUACCAAGGCAACGAUGCAUAGCCGACCUGAGAGGGUGAUCGGCCACACUGGGACUGAGACACGGUCCAGACUCCUACGGGAGGCAGCAGUAAGGAAUCUUCCGCAAUGGGCGAAAGCCUGACGGAGCAACGCCGCGUGAGUGAUGAAGGUCUUCGGAUCGUAAAACUCUGUUAUUAGAGAAGAACAUAUGUGUAAGUAACUGUGCACAUCUUGACGGUACCUAAUCAGAAAGCCACGGCUAACUACGUG
Molecule: ribosomal RNA, 497 nt
Filed under: uncultured bacterium
Lineage: Bacteria
Description: partial 16S ribosomal RNA
Rfam family: Bacterial small subunit ribosomal RNA
Source: RNAcentral